RNAcentral lists this ribosomal RNA (275 nucleotides) under Stumpffia jeannoeli. RNAcentral describes it as "partial 16S ribosomal RNA". It matches the Rfam family "Bacterial large subunit ribosomal RNA", at positions 697 to 1054 of the family's 2925-position model. Lineage: Eukaryota; Metazoa; Chordata; Amphibia; Anura; Microhylidae. The record is from RNAcentral.
AACUUAAAGUUUGACCCCCCGAAACUAAGCGAGCUACUCUAAAACAGCCCACAGAGCCAACCCACCCCUAUUGCAAAAGGGCGGGGAGAUUUUAAAGUAGAGGUGACACACCAACCGAGCCUAGAGAUAGCUGGUUAUUCAAAAGACGGAUUUAAGUCCAACUUUAAGCUUCUAUCAGUGGCACAAACAACCCACAAGCUUAAAAGCCAUUCAAAUAAGGUACAGCCUAUUUGAACAAGGAGACAACCUAUAAUACAGGGUAAUGACCCCCCCCC